AGUUCAUCAGCAGUCAACAUCCCAUUAAAAUGUAUCAGCUGUCCAAUUUCACUAAUUACUACCUGCUUCUUCCAUCCAUUUCUCCUGCUUUUAAUCUCAAUUUUACACCUUUUUACCGGAGGAGAAGAGGGGGAAUUGUCGGUUUGUUAGAAUAAAGACAGAGAGAGAGUAAAAGCGCAAAGGGGAAAAGUUUCACUUACUCAAAAGAGCCAAACAUACCUGGCUAGAUUAGAUGUUCCUGUAAUCUGCAGGUGGAUGGAAGAACUUCACGCCCAGUUGCUCGUAAAAAGGGGGUGUAGGAACCCCGGAAUGGCUUGGGUCAGUUUUUGGAUGGAAAUGAUGAAUGUCUUCAAGAACACACUUCUAAUCGUUCAGCUGAACACAGCCAAUUCACUGCAGGGGGUCAGGAUGCCGAGCCAAGCCCAUAACAGACAACCCAGAGGAACGGAUAAGAGAGGAAAACGUCAGGAGCGCUGACGGCCAUUAGGAAACAACUCUUCAAGAUGAAGCACCCAGAUAAAAUAAACAAUUAAAUAGACAAAUAAAACGAGCACUAUGUCCAGAUUAUAUGGUGCACUUGCUGCCACUGGCCACUGACCUUGAGGACCUUUCUUUGUUCUUCCACUCCUUGGCUCCUGCAACUGAGCCAACUCCAACACCAGUGUUUCAAAAUUGAGUACAUUGAACAGCAUAAACUUUUCAAAAAUGUAGUUUUUUUCGCUGAACUCCGUGGUCCUCCGGUAAUUUUAGUCCCGUCUGUACUCACAUCUGAGUUUCGUCUUCUCCCGUUUAAUAAAAUAGCUAUUUGUCCACUUGUACACUUUGGACGCAUGUUUCCACAAAGAUCCACAUAAACACAACAGCAAGUGGAAGUGGAGGAGCUACUGAACGCGAUGUCAUGUGACCGAGAAAGCCU
Molecule: long non-coding RNA, 916 nt
Organism: Astyanax mexicanus (Mexican tetra)
Lineage: Eukaryota; Metazoa; Chordata; Actinopteri; Characiformes; Acestrorhamphidae
Exons: 3
Source: RefSeq, a predicted model, not a curated record